AACGCAGCAUGCACCCCCGGGGCAACCCGCGGGUAUGUCUGCCUGGGUGUUUUGGUCCAACCCGUCGUGCAUGGGUCUCUUGCCCCGGUUAUCCGCGGCGUGUGUGCGCUGGAGCCAGCGUCAAUCCAAGGGUCGAGCAGUGUGCAAACCACCACUAGCAGACAGCGCCAGACACAACCCCAGGUCAGAUAAGACCACCCGCUGAACUUAA
This 211-nucleotide unclassified non-coding RNA is filed under the name uncultured Ascomycota. RNAcentral's name for it is "sequence contains ITS2". The record is from RNAcentral. Lineage: Eukaryota; Fungi; Ascomycota.